Molecule: ribosomal RNA, 526 nt
Filed under: uncultured bacterium
Lineage: Bacteria
Description: bacterial SSU rRNA
Rfam family: Bacterial small subunit ribosomal RNA
Source: RNAcentral
ACAUCCAGAGAACUUAGCAGAGAUGCUUUGGUGCCUUCGGGAACUCUGAGGACAGGUGCUGCAUGGCUGUCGUCAGCUCGUGUUGUGAAAUGUUGGGUUAAGUCCCGCAACGAGCGCAACCCUUAUCCUUUGUUGCCAGCGGUUCGGCCGGGAACUCAAAGGAGACUGCCGGUGAUAAACCGGAGGAAGGUGGGGAUGACGUCAAGUCAUCAUGGCCCUUACGGCCAGGGCUACACACGUGCUACAAUGGCGCAUACAAAGAGAAGCGACCUCGCGAGAGCAAGCGGACCUCAUAAAGUGCGUCGUAGUCCGGAUUGGAGUCUGCAACUCGACUCCAUGAAGUCGGAAUCGCUAGUAAUCGUAGAUCAGAAUGCUACGGUGAAUACGUUCCCGGGCCUUGUACACACCGCCCGUCACACCAUGGGAGUGGGUUGCAAAAGAAGUAGGUAGCUUAACCUUCGGGAGGGCGCUUACCACUUUGUGAUUCAUGACUGGGGUGAAGUCGUAACAAGGUAAGCGUAGUGCU